Molecule: ribosomal RNA, 244 nt
Filed under: uncultured bacterium
Lineage: Bacteria
Description: partial 16S ribosomal RNA
Rfam family: Bacterial small subunit ribosomal RNA
Source: RNAcentral
CAUGCCGUAAACGAUGAGUGCUAAGUGUUAGGGGGUUUCCGCCCCUUAGUGCUGCAGCUAACGCAUUAAGCACUCCGCCUGGGGAGUACGACCGCAAGGUUGAAACUCAAAGGAAUUGACGGGGGCCCGCACAAGCGGAGGAACAUGUGGUUUAAUUCGAUGAUACGCGAGGAACCUUACCCGGGCUUGAAUUGCAACCGAAUAAUCGAGAGAUCGAUUAGCCGCAAGGCGGUUGUGAAGGUGC